GCAACCAUGAGCUUCAUCACCAUCUUCAUCUGGAUCUUCACUAGCUGCUGUUUCACAGAAUCAGCAGCUGGAGCGACGGUCACUCAGACGCCUGCAGUGAAACCUGUUCAACCAGGAGACACAGUUACUAUCUCCUGUAAAACCAGUCCUGAAGUUUACCAGGGUUGGAGUGUUCAGCCUCUACACUGGUACUUACAGAAACCUGGAGAAGCUCCUAAACUCCUGAUUUAUAAUGCAAACCGUGUCCAGUUAGCAUAUAGAUUCAGUGGCAGUGGAUCUAACAGUGAUUUUACUCUGACCAUCACUGGAGUCCAGACUGAAGAUGCUGGACAUUAUUACUGUCUGAGAAGAGUGAUGAUGGAACUGGACGGAUUGAAUCUGCACAGCUUUGAGGCUUUGGUUUGA
Non-coding RNA from Onychostoma macrolepis, 405 nucleotides. The record is from the annotation of a RefSeq genome assembly. Lineage: Eukaryota; Metazoa; Chordata; Actinopteri; Cypriniformes; Cyprinidae.